Molecule: ribosomal RNA, 496 nt
Filed under: uncultured bacterium
Lineage: Bacteria
Description: partial 16S ribosomal RNA
Rfam family: Bacterial small subunit ribosomal RNA
Source: RNAcentral
GAUGAACGCUGGCGGCGUGCCUAAUACAUGCAAGUCGAGCGAACGGACGAGAAGCUUGCUUCUCUGAUGUUAGCGGCGGACGGGUGAGUAACACGUGGAUAACCUACCUAUAAGACUGGGAUAACUUCGGGAAACCGGAGCUAAUACCGGAUAAUAUUUUGAACCGCAUGGUUCAAAAAUGAAAGACGGUCUUGCUGUCACUUAUAGAUGGAUCCGCGCUGCAUUAGCUAGUUGGUAAGGUAACGGCUUACCAAGGCAACGAUGCAUAGCCGACCUGAGAGGGUGAUCGGCCACACUGGAACUGAGACACGGUCCAGACUCCUACGGGAGGCAGCAGUAGGGAAUCUUCCGCAAUGGGCGAAAGCCUGACGGAGCAACGCCGCGUGAGUGAUGAAGGUCUUCGGAUCGUAAAACUCUGUUAUUAGGGAAGAACAUAUGUGUAAGUAACUGUGCACAUCUUGACGGUACCUAAUCAGAAAGCCACGGCUAACUACGU